ACCUACGGGGGGCAGCAGUGGGGAAUAUUGGACAAGGGGGGAAACCCUGAUGCAGCGACGCCGCGUGAGUGAAGAAGUAUUUCGGUAUGUAAAGCUCUAUCAGCAGGGAAGAAGAAGGACGGUACCUGAGUAAGAAGCCCCGGCUAACUACGUGCCAGCAGCCGCGGUAAUACGUAGGGGGCAAGCGUUAUCCGGAUUUACUGGGUGUAAAGGGAGCGUAGACGGCUGUGCAAGUCUGAAGUGAAAGCCCGUGGCUCAACCGCGGAACUGCUUUGGAAACUGUAUAGCUUGAGUACUGGAGAGGC
RNAcentral lists this ribosomal RNA (305 nucleotides) under uncultured bacterium. RNAcentral's name for it is "bacterial SSU rRNA". It matches the Rfam family "Bacterial small subunit ribosomal RNA", at positions 337 to 658 of the family's 1533-position model. The record is from RNAcentral.